This 253-nucleotide ribosomal RNA is filed under the name uncultured bacterium. RNAcentral's name for it is "partial 16S ribosomal RNA". It matches the Rfam family "Bacterial small subunit ribosomal RNA", at positions 524 to 776 of the family's 1533-position model. The record is from RNAcentral.
UACAUGGGGUGCAAACGUUGCUCGGAAUCAUUGGGCGUAAAGCGCGCGUAGGCGGUUGCUUAAGUCGGAUGUGAAAGCCCUCGGCUUAACUGAGGAAGUGCAUCCGAAACUGAGCAGCUAGAGUACGAAAGAGGGUCGCGGAAUUCCCGGUGUAGAGGUGAAAUUCGUAGAUAUCGUAAGGAAGACCAGUGGCGAAGGCGGGUCUCUGGACAGUUCCUGACGCUGAGGCACGAAGGCCAGGGGAGCAAACGGG